This 459-nucleotide ribosomal RNA is filed under the name uncultured bacterium. Its description in RNAcentral is "partial 16S ribosomal RNA". It matches the Rfam family "Bacterial small subunit ribosomal RNA", at positions 338 to 795 of the family's 1533-position model. The record is from RNAcentral.
CCUACGGGAGGCAGCAGUGAGGAAUAUUGGUCAAUGGUCGGGAGACUGAACCAGCCAAGCCGCGUGAGGGAUGAAGGUACAGAGUAUCGUAAACCUCUUUUGUCAGGGAACAAAGGCGGGGACGUGUCCCCGGAUGAGUGUACCUGAAGAAAAAGCAUCGGCUAACUCCGUGCCAGCAGCCGCGGUAAUACGGAGGAUGCGAGCGUUAUCCGGAUUUAUUGGGUUAAAAGGGGGCGCAGGCGGGCUGUUAAGUCAGCGGUAAAAGCCCGGGGCUCAACCCCGGCCCGCCGUUGAAACUGGCAGUCUCGAGUUGGAGAGAAGUAUGCGGAAUGCGCGGUGUAGCGGUGAAAUGCAUAGAUAUCGCGCAGAACUCCGAUUGCGAAGGCAGCAUGCCGGCUCCACACUGACGCUGAGGCACGAAAGCGUGGGUAUCGAACAGGAUUAGAUACCCCUGUAGUC